UACGUAGGGUGCGAGCGUUAAUCGGAAUUACUGGGCGUAAAGCGUGCGCAGGCGGUUCGUCGUGUCUGAUGUGAAAGCCCCGGGCUCAACCUGGGAAUGGCGAUGGAUACUGGCUCGCUAGAGUGCGGUAGAGGAGAGUGGAAUUCCCGGUGUAGCAGUGAAAUGCGUAGAGAUCGGGAGGAACAUCAGUUGCGAAGGCGGCUCUCUGGACCAGCACUGACACUGAGGCACGAAAGCGUGGGGAGCAAACAGG
RNAcentral lists this ribosomal RNA (253 nucleotides) under uncultured bacterium. RNAcentral describes it as "partial 16S ribosomal RNA". It matches the Rfam family "Bacterial small subunit ribosomal RNA", at positions 524 to 776 of the family's 1533-position model. The record is from RNAcentral.